UACGGAGGAUCCGAGCGUUAUCCGGAUUUAUUGGGUCUAAAGGGUGCGUAGGCGGGAUAAUAAGUCAGUGGUGAAAGUUUGCAGCUUAACUGUAAAAUUGCCGUUGAAACUGUUAUUCUUGAGAGUAGAUAAGGUAGGCGGAAUGUGUUGUGUAGCGGUGAAAUGCAUAGAUAUAACACAGAACCCCGAUUGCGAAGGCAGCUUACCGGGCUACAUCUGACGCUGAUGCACGAAAGCGUGGGGAUCAAACAGGAUUAGAUACCCGGGUAGU
RNAcentral lists this ribosomal RNA (271 nucleotides) under uncultured prokaryote. RNAcentral describes it as "partial 16S ribosomal RNA". It matches the Rfam family "Bacterial small subunit ribosomal RNA", at positions 524 to 794 of the family's 1533-position model. The record is from RNAcentral.